This 432-nucleotide long non-coding RNA is filed under the name Astyanax mexicanus (Mexican tetra). Its description in RNAcentral is "lncRNA (ENSAMXG00005010643.1)". Lineage: Eukaryota; Metazoa; Chordata; Actinopteri; Characiformes; Acestrorhamphidae. The record is from RNAcentral.
CGCCCGCAGUGUUGUUAGCCUGAGUUUUAAACCGGGUUUAUUAGAUUUACACUGAGAUCGGACUGUCUGGAAAGCGCACUCCUCAGAAACCACAGAUGGAGCCAUGAGGCCACGCCCCUUCUCCACUGCUGCUGCCACUCACAGCCGCGUCCAGCCUGGAAACACCAUGAACUGUAACUCCGCCCUCCGGCAGCUAUGACUCCGUCAUCCUCCCGUCCAGAAAACGACCGGACUGCAGAGCAUCACCUGCUUCCCCACCAGCCUCAGGACCCUCGUCCCCACCAGCCUCAGGACCCUCGUCCCCACCAGCCUCAGGACCCUCGUCCCCACCAGCCUCAGGACCCUCAUCCCCAGCGCCAGCACUGAGGCCAUCCAGCUGAUCAGAGACCUGCUGCAGUGGGACCCCGAGAAACCACCAGCCGCCCGCCAGGU